GAAUUCCAGGCCUUAUUUUUACCACGUGCUGGAUACACCCAGAGGUGCUGACAGCUCCUCAGAGUCCAACAAGUUUGAAAGAGGAUUCUUCACAUUCCCCACAGCUUGGGGUCCCAGCUGCCUCAUCUGGAGAAUGACACCAGUGUCACUCAGGCUGCAGCCAGCAAACAUCUCCCUGCCCUUCCUCACCUUAGCCCCAGCAUUUCCCAUCCUCCCAGAUGCCUUAGGCCUGUCACUCCUCUCAGCCCUAACCGAAGUGGCCUAACUCAGUCCUGCCCUGUCUGUCUCUCCACGCAGCACCAGUGUGACCUCCUGGAACCCACUUCAAUCCCAUCGUUCCCCUGGGUAAAACCCCAGGACAUCAGAGCCAGGUGGACUUCAACUAUCCAUCCUCACCACCUAUAACAAGGGAACUGGUGAUUUCUAUCUGGACAUUCAGCCAUGAAACGAGACCUUCCCAGACUCCCCACAGCCCUUUGCCUUGGUAAACUCUGAAGAGCACACCCAUACCCAUCGCUAGAGAGACUUAAAUUAAAAAUAGAUCUCAAGUUUUGAUGGGAGUGUGGAGCAACUGGAACUCUCAGACGCCGGAGGAAUGAGGAACAGGGUGCGAGUCCUGGAUGUACACAUUUACCUGAAGUAAUCAGAACAUGUGAUUAAAGUCUGUGCAUUUUAAUGAAAGUGAUGUCAAUAAAAACAAGAAAAAUGACACACAGAGAGUAUACAAGAAAACUAUUGUUUCUAUAAAGAAAGAAGGAAGCCGAGGAUUUAACCCAGCGGUUUCGCCGCCUGCUGUGCAAGUGCAAGGACCUGAGUUCAAUCCCCGGUACAAAAAAAAAAGAAAAGAAAAAGAAGGAAGAGAAACGAAAGGAACAAAUUAAGUCCAUACAAAUCCAAGAACCAAGGCAGAGGCUGCCCUGGUCUGGGGCUCCUGGUCUUUUGGGGGUCUCCCGCAGGACUUGUGGUUCCCUGAGACUCAGAGCAGGCCCUGCAGGAGGUGCACAGGGGACUUGGCAGAUACCAGCAACCAGUGCCUUCUCCCCCACUCAGGACUCCCCCAGCCCCUCCCAGUGCACCCUCCCGGUGCUCCAAGCAAGCAGAAGAGCUGGCGCGUUCAGCACCUGGGAGGAGAAACUGAGCUUCCAGUGGCCAAGACUGGAAUCUCAUUCAUGUUCAUCUGCCCCACACUCGGCAUAAGGCCUGAAUGUGGAGUCUCCGAACUGAACUGUGCUGAGCAUCCUCCUGCAGCUGCCAGGGCCAGAGCCCGAGCUCAGGGUGCUGGUCUGACCUGAGGCCCCAGCACCAGACCAUCUGAGUUCCCUGCAGCAUCCAUGGUCCUUACCGCACCCCCUUUUGUCUUUGUCCCCAUGGCUUUUCUCUCCCAAGUAGGUCUGGGUGUGCACAACCUACACUUACACAAUUGGGGUCCUGGGCACACGAACUCAGGGCUCUACUUUGGUGAUUAAAAUGACUCGGUAGUGGAAAAUCUGGGUCAGCCCACGAUGCCAGUAAGGGACAGGGUCUCCCCAACAUGCUCACAGUCAGCUAACAGUGCCACGGGAAACAUGCCCAAUGGCCAUCCAGAGCCCACACCGAGGCUGCUGAGCGGCCACACACACCUGCCGCCCACCUUCACAGCUCUCUGGGUUUCUCAAAUUAACCACCUCAGCUGAGCAGAGCGAGUCCAGGUCUGGAGCGAAGCUGAAGCCGACGGUGGCCCUGGUCACCGCAGACCUGCUUAAUUGGAUUUGACAACCAUGAUUUAUUUACCAAGCAGCUCUUUGCUUCAAGUCAUAAUCAUAUCUAACACUCAUCUCAUCUCUGCUUUGCUUAGGGUUCCAAAAAUCCAGAUUUUCCUUGACACUCUGCAAGGGGAAUGAGGAAACCACAGCGGACUUGAAAAAUUUUUUCAAUUAUAUGGUCUCAGAGUUUUUCCUUGUAUAGCUAAUUUGGCCAGUUCUGAGGACAUCAAAAAGAAGGAAAUCAGAUCACAACCCCUGGCGCUACUUCUGGAUAUAGGCAAGUCAAUCCUACCUCUUCUCUGCCUGCAGCAACUUUCUAAAAGGGACAAGGGUACAGUCUGGAUCUGGAGGGUUCCCCAA
Long non-coding RNA from Heterocephalus glaber (naked mole-rat), 2102 nucleotides. RefSeq lists it as uncharacterized. NCBI's taxonomy places the organism in Eukaryota, Metazoa, Chordata, Mammalia, Rodentia, Bathyergidae. The record is from RefSeq and is a predicted model, not a curated record.